This 756-nucleotide ribosomal RNA is filed under the name Micarea laeta. RNAcentral describes it as "SSU rRNA". It matches the Rfam family "Bacterial small subunit ribosomal RNA", at positions 474 to 1172 of the family's 1533-position model. The record is from RNAcentral. Lineage: Eukaryota; Fungi; Ascomycota; Lecanoromycetes; Lecanorales; Micareaceae.
CAUUGUGUAUCCAUGAGUCUCGACCAAGUUACGUGCCAGCAGUCGCGGUAAUACGUAGAAGACUAGUGUUAUUCAUCUUUAAUGGGUUAAAAGGGUACCUAGACGGCAUAUAAGCCCUUAACUGGAACUGGUAUGCUAGAGUUACUUGUAAGGAAGUUGUAAAGUACUAGAGGAGUAGAGAUAAAAUUCAAUCAUACCUUUUUUCUUAGGAAAAACUUCGGCACAGGUAUAGGUGAAAACAUCUUCUUAUGGGAUAACUGACGUUGAGGGACGAAGGCUUUUUAUAAUGAACAGGAUUAGAUACCCUGGUAGUCGAAGCAGUAAACGCUGAGUGUCAUAGAUUAGAUUUAAAUUUAUUCUAUAAAUGAAAGUGUAAGCACUCCACCUCAAGAGUAAUUUGGCAACAUUGGAACUGAAAUCAUUAGACCGUAUCUGAAACCAGUAGUGAAGUAUGUUAUUUAAUUUGAUAAUCCGCAAAAAACCUUACCACAACUCGAAUACUUACAUAUUUACUUAUCUAACCUGUAUAUGUGCAGUUUCUUGCUUACGCAGCUACAUGUGCAGUUUCUUGCUUCCGUAGGUAUAUGACAGAAAUUGCAUCUUAUGCACUGUUCUGAAUAGGUAAUAAUAUAUAGAUACAAGUGUUGCACGGCUGUCUAAAGUUAAUGUCGUAAGAUUAUGGUUAGUUCCGUUAAAUUAACGCAAACCCUUGCCCUAUUUUUAAAUAGGGUAGUUCUCCGCUAUAAUGGAUAAGAU